UUUCUGCACAGAGAUUUUUCUUGGUCAAGAGUGCAACAUGAGCUGUUGAUAUGAACUUUACUGUCAGAUGAACUUUGGAAGUGACAAGAUUUCUUCACAGAGAAUGAAUGAAGUUGAAGAAGUUGAAAGGCACCCCUGAAGAACUUGAAUUAUUUUAGCCCUAUCCUAGAUUCAUUAAUUAAUAUAUUUUAGUGUGUGAUAUAUUUUAGUGUUUUCAGUUUUCAAAA
Molecule: long non-coding RNA, 227 nt
Filed under: Dendronephthya gigantea
Lineage: Eukaryota; Metazoa; Cnidaria; Anthozoa; Malacalcyonacea; Nephtheidae
Description: uncharacterized LOC114520619, transcript variant X1
Source: RNAcentral